GGGAUGCAACUCAGUGGUAGAGCAUCUGUUUUGUAUGUAGAAGGUUGCAGGUUCAAUCCCCAAUGGCACUCCA
Podarcis lilfordi (Lilford's wall lizard) is the source of this 73-nucleotide non-coding RNA. NCBI's taxonomy places the organism in Eukaryota, Metazoa, Chordata, Lepidosauria, Squamata, Lacertidae. The record is from the annotation of a GenBank genome assembly.